This 868-nucleotide long non-coding RNA is filed under the name Lupinus angustifolius (narrow-leaved blue lupine). RNAcentral describes it as "long non-coding RNA (LANG_LNC002157)". Lineage: Eukaryota; Viridiplantae; Streptophyta; Magnoliopsida; Fabales; Fabaceae. The record is from RNAcentral.
AAAUUCUCUUGUUUCUUCUCUUAUAUUUAUUCUAUGCACAUUAUUUGAUUGCUUGUGGCCAACGCUGCGCAACGAUCGCUUCCGCUGCACCAACAAUUGGUAUCAGAGGGCGGGUGUGAGACGUCAUAGUGAAAGAUAUUAAUUGUUAGCAGAUCCACAAAAACACAAGGGCGAUGACUGACUUUGAUGUAGGGUGUGACAUGGGCAUUGACUUUGAUGCAAGUUGUAAAACGAGCAUUGGUAGAGAUGCAGAGGUGUGACAUGGGCAUUGGCUUGGAUGCAAGGAUGUGACAUAGACAUUAGUUAGCAUUGACGCAGGGUGUAUGCUGUGGGUAUACUCCUUAUGGUGGAGUAUGAUAGUUCUUUUGAACUAGGAUUGUCGGAGUAGACAAUGGUGGUAGCGGUUGAGGCUUUCCAAGGAAGCUCCAAGAUUCAGUUUGACUGAGUAUUGAAGAGGGCGAUUGUUGGUGAACUUUUGCAUAGAGGUUCCAAUAUAUCGAAAGACUUCUUAGCAAUAAGUGGCUAGGCGGCGUGUUCCAUUUGAUGGCGGUACGGGAAACUCCACUACAAGUUUAGAGAGCUAGGCUCUUGGUAACAUCGUCAAGGAUACUCGGAAGGUCUAUGCUGAAGGGGAGCAGUUAAAGAGAAUUAGACAUUGAGCAAGGUGGAGUCAUAUAUUCGCUAAGGUGGAGAGUCUUGUGUAGAUUUCCUAAGGAACGAGAUAUUUGUCUAUUUCAAUCAAGGUGGAGAUUGUUGGGGAUGUUUGAAAUAUAUUAUUAUAUGAAGUCCCACAUUGCCUAGAAUUAGAAUAGAGUAUAAUAUCAAUGUUAUAUAUUGGACUCAAGUCUCUUGUUAUAAUGUGCACCAG